Long non-coding RNA from Olea europaea var. sylvestris, 531 nucleotides. RefSeq lists it as uncharacterized. The record is from RefSeq and is a predicted model, not a curated record. Lineage: Eukaryota; Viridiplantae; Streptophyta; Magnoliopsida; Lamiales; Oleaceae. The transcript is spliced from 2 exons.
AUCUACCUUAAUAAGAUAAUGUAUGUGGACUUUUCCAAUGAAUUUGUCUUCGUGACGAAAAUUUGACCUUUUUCAUAGAUGAAAGACCUCACUGCAUAUAAAAACCUCGUUACAAAACCCAAUAGCCAAUAGGUAUAGAUUGCAAAAGCACAUCCCACAAGAAUGAGGCUUAAUCUCUACAAGCAUGCUGUUUUCUAUGCUCUCAUUAUAACCUUCAUUAUGUUAACGAUAAACUCCGGAUGUAUAUUCGGCCAAGCCAGAGUAACAAACUUUGGUGGGUCGAUUCAAGAAGGUCUCCCCCACCGCAUCAAUAGGGAGCUUCCACCCGGAGGCAAUCCUUCUCCGGCAGCAGAUCCCAAUAGUCACGUGCAUCACUAAGGCUAUCGAAUUAGACCUAUAAUAGAGGUUUAUAUUACAUGCUUGUAUUUUCUUUUUCUUUCGUUGAAAUAUGACAUAUAUUGAUGUGGUUUUGUAGACGUAGAAAUAAUUACUGAAUUAUAUAAAUCGUUGUGUUUCGUACUUUGUUUUCUA